Alligator sinensis (Chinese alligator) is the source of this 301-nucleotide long non-coding RNA. RefSeq lists it as uncharacterized. Lineage: Eukaryota; Metazoa; Chordata; Crocodylia; Alligatoridae. The record is from RefSeq and is a predicted model, not a curated record. The transcript has 3 exons.
AGAUCUACUUGGGGAACAAAUACUGUAAAAGUACCUGGAUGUAGGCCAAAACAGGGAACUGAAACUGUAAGCCUUUCAGGAAUUUGCUUUUUCUGCAGUCUUUCUACUUACUUACGAACUCAAAAAAAAGUGAAGAUGGAACCGCAGACAUCAAAGACAAGAGUAGUCUAUUCUGGGAACCAUUUAUGGUGUUUCAAUGGCUGCUCUGUGAAAUACAUUUUAUUCAGCAGAAUUCAUGUAUAUAAGACAUCUUCUUCAUUUCUAAAGGACAUACUAAUCCUUCCCACAAAAUGUUUUCCCA